AUGGUUCGGAUUUCCUUCCCAGGACUUCUCCAGAUAAAAAUUUCAGGAUCGCUGAAGUUCAUUACAACCCCAGUGCUGUACCUCCAGAAGAUGCUGAGACCAAACAUCCUUGUUCACGAAGAAUACUACCCAUGGAUACAGGGCACUAUCCACUGAAAGCAAGAUUUUUUCAUUGAUACUGAACUUGUUUUCUUCUGAUCAUCUAAUGAUGGCUCUCUUUUGUGGCAUGUAGAAAUAAACAUUGAUCUAAAUAAUUACUUCUAAUGUACUCAACUCACUAGGCUUCAGUGGAGUGACAAUACUGACCACAUAAGGAUUUGGUCUCCCUGUGUUUCCAAGAUUAGCCCUCAUGUUAAACAGAGACUGGAAACAUUCUCUUCCUCAUCAUUAGUCCUUCUCAUAGUUUGUCCUCUUUUUUUUUCUCUUUACACCCUCCUGCCAUACCUCUGCUCCCUUCUUCAUCUGAUACUUAUCCUCAGAGCCUAAUAUGCAUAAUAUUGAGUUUCAAGUCACAUUUUUGAGCCUGUUGGCUGACUGUCUCGGGCAUGGAUGUCUAGGCUCCUCAAUAAGUAUCUUUCAUUACUUUUUCUGAGAUGGACUUUGAUCAACUUAUAAAUUAAGAAAUUGGACUCAGCUUUCCAAGAUGUUCCUUUCAGUUGUAUGUUUUUAUUUUCAGACAUGCUGGCACUGUUGACUUGGAUUUAGAUCUCUAAAGAGAUACACAUGUGUGUUUAAAUGUUUGAAAAUGUUGCCCAGUACCUUCAAAUGGAAUGUGGAAACAAGAAAAACUGAAAUUCCUGCCUCUAAUGAGUAUCCAUGUGUAUGAUACAGGUUUCAGAUUACCUCUCCUACAAAAAAAAAAAACAAAACCAAAAAACCCACAAAACAACCAACCCUAGAACAAUAGCAGAUAAAAUCAUACCAUCUUUGGAGGUAGUGAUUAAGUUUGUCCUUUAGUAAUACUUUGGUGUAAAUACAGCAGGAGGUAAACUCCAUUUCGUAACAUCACAAGAGAGACUUAACUUUCCUCUCCUACUAAAGAGGGGCUUUCCUUCAGCAAAUGUGUUUGAACUGGUAACUUGCCUGCUCAACCAAAUCCUAGUUUCAGUUUUGAAUGCCUUCUCUGUAUCAUUCGAGUGAAGAUUUUUUAAUGAUUGCUAAUAUUAUAAAAUACUAACCUGUACCGAUGACAGAGAAGUAAGAAAAUAUAAAGGAACGAUGUCUUAGAGCUGGUAUGUAUGAUAGCAAAUACAAAAGGUUCUUUCAUUCUGUGAAUAACUCCCACACAGCAAUUAGUGGAAAAAGAUGAGUAUUUCAAUAUACAGUAGCUACAGCCAGCCUACUUGAAAUUAGACAGAUCACCUUCACUUCCUUGGCUUUCUGGGAGAAAUGUUAGUGUUAAAAACAUGCAAACGAGUUCCACCUCGUACCCACUUGUUUCUAACUUGAAAUUGCUUUCAGUGACAAAAAAAUUUAAUACAAAAUACAGUUAAGUAUGUCAGACACUCGAACUAUCCUCUGCUUGUAUUAUUUUCAUUAGUAAACUCUUUGUUCCACAAUCUGCUGCUGAAUACAACUUUUCCCUGCUUUGCAAUGAGAAGCAGGACAUGAUGUGCCAUGGUGCUGUGUGCUAAAGCUGUGCCUGACUCCGCUUGCACUCCUAACCCGGCUGCUGCACACCCCAGGGGCGUCCUGUGAGGGCCAGGAGGGAGGCUGCAGAGGUCUUUGGAGGAACCGGAGCUUUAGUCCUCCUGAGUCCCUUUUACACCAGUUUGUCUCUGCUAUGAAAUCUGUACACCUAGGUGGAUGGACAGUCUGACACUGCUUCCUUCUCUACCACCCUGCUUCGACCCCCACUGUCCUCCUUCGUGCAGUAACUCUUUCUGCAUACACUUUACAGGACAGAAGGUAAUAGGCUUAAAUUUAGACUAGGCAUUAGGCAACAGUUUCUAAUUUUAAGGAAUAAGUGGUCUAGAGUGCACAUGGAAUUGCCAUCAUUGCAGGUCUUAAAAAUACUCAUAGUGGUACGACAUGCCUGCCAGAAUUGGUAUAAGUAAAGUUGAUUUUGCCCUAAGGCAAAGGAUGGACUGGAAGAACUGCUGAAAGUCCUCCCAACUCUAUUUUCUAUUACUCUAAUUUAAAAUAAAAAGGCAGCAAAAGAGGAUCAAUAUGAGAGCAACAUGAGACUGGCCUUGUCUCCUGCAUACUGUAAUUGUUUUAUUACAUACCUGAUAAAAGACAAAAUGUACCUUGAUUUUCUGAAGUUUUUGCUAAAUGCCCCUAUAACAUCGUUAAAUGAUUAGGAACAGCAAAGAUUUGGAUAAAGGCUAGACAAGCAGUAAGAAUAGUGCUGGAAAUCUUAAG
Long non-coding RNA from Accipiter nisus (Eurasian sparrowhawk), 2364 nucleotides. Lineage: Eukaryota; Metazoa; Chordata; Aves; Accipitriformes; Accipitridae. The record is from Ensembl.